Molecule: ribosomal RNA, 468 nt
Filed under: uncultured bacterium
Lineage: Bacteria
Description: partial 16S ribosomal RNA
Rfam family: Bacterial small subunit ribosomal RNA
Source: RNAcentral
GACGAACGCUGGCGGCGUGCUUAACACAUGCAAGUCGAACGGAAAGGCCCUGCUUUUGUGGGGUGCUCGAGUGGCGAACGGGUGAGUAACACGUGAGUAACCUGCCCUUGACUUUGGGAUAACUUCAGGAAACUGGGGCUAAUACCGGAUAGGAGCUCCUGCUGCAUGGUGGGGGUUGGAAAGUUUCGGCGGUUGGGGAUGGACUCGCGGCUUAUCAGCUUGUUGGUGGGAUAGUGGCCUACCAAGGCUUUGACGGGUAGCCGGCCUGAGAGGGUGACCGGCCACAUUGGGACUGAGAUACGGCCCAGACUCCUACGGGAGGCAGCAGUGGGGAAUAUUGCACAAUGGGCGGAAGCCUGAUGCAGCAACGCCGCGUGCGGGAUGACGGCCUUCGGGUUGUAAACCGCUUUCGCCUGUGACGAAGCGUGAGUGACGGUAAUGGGUAAAGAAGCACCGGCUAACUACGUG